GGGACACACCUGUACCCAUGCCGAACACAGAAGUUAAGCCUCUUAACGCCGAUGGUACUUGGUUGGUAACGACCUGGGAGAGUAGGAAAUUGCCG
This 95-nucleotide ribosomal RNA is filed under the name Aedoeadaptatus coxii. RNAcentral also lists the same sequence under 1 other name. The record is from RNAcentral. Lineage: Bacteria; Bacillati; Bacillota; Tissierellia; Tissierellales; Peptoniphilaceae.